GAUGAACGCUGGCGGCGUGCCUAAUACAUGCAAGUCGAGCGAACGGACGAGAAGCUUGCUUCUCUGAUGUUAGCGGCGGACGGGUGAGUAACACGUGGAUAACCUACCUAUAAGACUGGGAUAACUUCGGGAAACCGGAGCUAAUACCGGAUGAUAUUUUGAACCGCAUGGUUCAAAAGUGAAAGACGGUCUUGCUGUCACUUAUAGAUGGAUCCGCGCUGCAUUAGCUAGUUGGUAAGGUAACGGCUUACCAAGGCAACGAUGCAUAGCCGACCUGAGAGGGUGAUCGGCCACACUGGAACUGAGACACGGUCCAGACUCCUACGGGAGGCAGCAGUAGGGAAUCUUCCGCAAUGGGCGAAAGCCUGACAGAGCAACGCCGCGUGAGUGAUGAAGGUCUUCGGAUCGUAAAACUCUGUUAUUAGGGAAGAACAUAUGUGUAAGUAACUGUGCACAUCUUGACGGUACCUAAUCAGAAAGCCACGGCUAACUACGUG
This 497-nucleotide ribosomal RNA is filed under the name uncultured bacterium. RNAcentral's name for it is "partial 16S ribosomal RNA". It matches the Rfam family "Bacterial small subunit ribosomal RNA", at positions 28 to 507 of the family's 1533-position model. The record is from RNAcentral.